This 255-nucleotide long non-coding RNA is filed under the name Lathyrus oleraceus (garden pea). RNAcentral's name for it is "Pisum sativum (pea) long non-coding RNA (PSAT_LNC036291)". Lineage: Eukaryota; Viridiplantae; Streptophyta; Magnoliopsida; Fabales; Fabaceae. The record is from RNAcentral.
UCGAUACCAUUAUGUUGGUGCAAGUUAUAAUCUUCAUCGUUGUAUAACCCCCUUUCCUUUCUUUUCGUAGUUCCAAACUACGACUGCUCUGAUUUUCUCAUUACAGAGUGAGAAUACGUAGGCACGAGGAUGCGAAUCCUUGGCGAGCAUACUUCUAAUUAUUCCUCUUUCGCCUUAGGGCAUCACCCAUAUCUUUCAUAAUCCAUUAUCUACCUUCGAUCAUAAGCCGUCCACCUAGUGACAUAUUAUACCUUU